This 1466-nucleotide ribosomal RNA is filed under the name Bacteroides thetaiotaomicron. RNAcentral's name for it is "partial 23S ribosomal RNA". It matches the Rfam family "Bacterial large subunit ribosomal RNA", at positions 1 to 1483 of the family's 2925-position model. Lineage: Bacteria; Pseudomonadati; Bacteroidota; Bacteroidia; Bacteroidales; Bacteroidaceae. The record is from RNAcentral.
AAAGAAAGUAAGCAAGGGCGCAUGGCGGAUGCCUUGGCUCUCGGAGGCGAUGAAGGACGUGAUAAGCUGCGAUAAGCUCUGGGUAGGUGCAAAUAACCUUUGAUCCAGAGAUUUCCGAAUGGGACAACCCGGCAUUCUGAAGGAAUGUCAUCCAUCUUUGAUGGAAGCUAACGCAGGGAACUGAAACAUCUUAGUACCUGUAGGAAAAGAAAAUAAUAAUGAUUCCCCUAGUAGUGGCGAGCGAACGGGGAAUAGCCCAAACCACCCAUGUUACGGCAUGUGUGGGGUUGUAGGACCACGAUGUCGCAAGACAUUUGACGAGUAGAAUCCUCUGGAAAGUUGAACCAUAGACGGUGAUAGUCCGGUAUACGAAGUCAAAUUAAGCGUAGUGGUAUCCUGAGUAGCGCGGGACACGAGAAAUCUUGCGUGAAUCUGCCGGGACCAUCCGGUAAGGCUAAAUACUCCCGAGAGACCGAUAGCGAACCAGUACUGUGAAGGAAAGGUGAAAAGCACUUCGAAUAGAAGAGUGAAAUAGUCCCUGAAACCGUGCGCCUACAAGCGGUCGGAGCUGCUUAAGCAGUGACGGCGUGCCUUUUGCAUAAUGAACCUACGAGUUACUUUUUCCGGCAAGGUUAAGCAUCUUGAGAUGCGCAGCCGAAGCGAAAGCGAGUCUGAACAGGGCGUCGAGUCGGAAGGAGUAGACGCGAAACCAAGUGAUCUACCCUUGGUCAGGUUGAAGGUUAGGUAACACUAACUGGAGGACCGAACCGAUAAGCGUUGAAAAGCUUCCGGAUGAACUGAGGGUGGGGGUGAAAGGCUAAUCAAACUUGGAGAUAGCUCGUACUCCCCGAAAUGCAUUUAGGUGCAGCCUUGUGAGUUACUAAUGUGAGGUAGAGCGACUGAUAAGAUGCGAGGGCUUCACCGCCUAUCAAGUCUUGAUAAACUCCGAAUGCGCAUUAGUUCUAUCACAGGAGUGAGGGCAUGGGUGCUAAGGUCCAUGUCCUAAAGGAGAAGAAUCCAGACCAUCAGCUAAGGUCCCCAAAUAAACACUAAGUUGAACUAACGAAGUCAGAUUGCUAAGACAGCUAGGAUGUUGGCUUGGAAGCAGCCAUUCAUUUAAAGAGUGCGUAACAGCUCACUAGUCGAGGAGUUUGGCGUGGAUAAUAAUCGGGCAUUAAGUGUUUUACCGAAGCUAUGGGAUCAGUAAUGAUCGGUAGGGGAGCAUUCCACUCUGCGUCGAAGGUGAAGCGUGAGCUUUGCUGGAGCGUGUGGAAAAGCAAAUGUAGGUAUAAGUAACGAUAAAGGGGGUGAGAAACCCCCUCGCCGAAAGACUAAGGUUUCCUGAUCAACGCUAAUCGGAUCAGGGUUAGUCGGGUCCUAAGGCUCAGCCGAACGGUGAGGCCGAUGGCAGAACAGGUUAAUAUUCCUGUACUACCUUAAGGAGUGACGUGGAGACGGAGCAGUGA